GCUUCUUUUGGACCUAAUGCACACAAACAGAUGCAUAGGGUGAGUGUUUGGACCAAUUCACAUCCAAAUGUACAUAAAAUCAGCCUUAAAAAUCCCAUUUAGAUGUGUGUAUUUUACACACAUCAAAUCACCCCACACUUAGUUCAUUGCUUGUCCUCAAGCAAUUAACAACUCUCCUUACAAAACUGCAGUCAGCAAUUC
Molecule: long non-coding RNA, 201 nt
Filed under: Ricinus communis (castor bean)
Lineage: Eukaryota; Viridiplantae; Streptophyta; Magnoliopsida; Malpighiales; Euphorbiaceae
Description: long non-coding RNA (RCOM_LNC000568)
Source: RNAcentral